Molecule: ribosomal RNA, 432 nt
Filed under: uncultured bacterium
Lineage: Bacteria
Description: partial 16S ribosomal RNA
Rfam family: Bacterial small subunit ribosomal RNA
Source: RNAcentral
ACGAACGCUGGCGGCAUGCCUAACACAUGCCAGGCGAACGAGACCUUCGGGUCUAGUGGCGCACGGGUGCGUAACGCGUGGGAACCUGCCCUUAGGGUCGGAAUAACUCCCCGAAAGGGGGGCUAAUACCGGAUAAUGUCUUCGGACCAAAGAUUUAUCGCCUUUGGAUGGGCCCGCGUUGGAUUAGCGAGUUGGUAGGGUAAAAGCCUACCAAGGCGACGAUCCAUAGCUGGUCUGAGAGGAUGAUCAGACACACUGGGACUGAGACACGGCCCAGACUCCUACGGGAGGCAGCAGUGGGGAAUAUUGGACAAUGGGCGAAAGCCUGAUCCAGCAAUGCCGCGUGAGUGAUGAAGGCCUUAGGGUUGUAAAGCUCUUUUACCCGGGAUGAUAAUGACAGUACCGGGAGAAUAAGCUCCGGCUAACUCCGUG